GUAGGCAUGGCGGAGCCUAGACUGCAAGUCGAACGGGCUGUUUAUGCAGCCAGUGGCGGACGGGUGAGUAACACGUAGGUGACCUACCCCAAAGUCUGGGACAACUAGGAGAAAUCUUAGCUAAUCCUGGAUGUGGACAUCUACUUUGGUGGAUGUUUAAAGCUUCGGCGCUUUGGGAUGGGCCUGCGGCGCAUCAGGUAGUUGGUGGGGUAAUGGCCUACCAAGCCGACGACGCGUAGCUGGUCUGAGAGGACGAUCAGCCACAGGGGUACUGAGACACGGACCCCACUCCUACGGGAGGCAGCAGUUAGGAAUCUUCCGCAAUGGGCGAAAGCCUGACGGAGCGAUACCGCUUGAAGGACGAAGCCCUUCGGGGUGUAAACUUCUGAACUCGGGACGAUAAUGACGGUACCGAGGUAAUAGCACCGGCUAACUCCGUGCCAGCAGCCGCGGUAAUACGGAGGGUGCGAGCGUUACCCGGAUUUACUGGGUGUAAAGGGCGUGUAGGCGGUCUCUCAAGUCCGAUGCUAAAGACCGAAGCUCAACUUCGGGGGUGCGUUGGAUACUGUGAGGCUAGACGGUCGGAGAGGGUAGCGGAAUUUCCGGAGUAGCGGUGAAAUGCGCAGAUACCGGAAGGAACGCCAAUAGCGAAAGCAGCUACCUGGACGAUUUGUGACGCUGAGGCGCGAAAGCGUGGGGAGCAAACCGGAUUAGAUACCC
RNAcentral lists this ribosomal RNA (720 nucleotides) under Meiothermus ruber. RNAcentral describes it as "bacterial SSU rRNA". It matches the Rfam family "Bacterial small subunit ribosomal RNA", at positions 29 to 787 of the family's 1533-position model. The record is from RNAcentral. Lineage: Bacteria; Thermotogati; Deinococcota; Deinococci; Thermales; Thermaceae.